This 21-nucleotide non-coding RNA is filed under the name Arabidopsis thaliana (thale cress). Lineage: Eukaryota; Viridiplantae; Streptophyta; Magnoliopsida; Brassicales; Brassicaceae. The record is from RNAcentral.
CAAGUGUCUUCAACAUGCCUU